This 444-nucleotide ribosomal RNA is filed under the name uncultured bacterium. RNAcentral's name for it is "partial 16S ribosomal RNA". It matches the Rfam family "Bacterial small subunit ribosomal RNA", at positions 354 to 796 of the family's 1533-position model. The record is from RNAcentral.
GUAGGGAAUAUUGGGCAAUGGUCGGAAGACUGACCCAGCCAUGCCGCGUGCAGGAAGACGGCCCUCUGGGUUGUAAACUGCUUUUAUCUGGGAAGAAAAAGGCCAUGCGUGGCAAAUUGCCGGUACCAGAUGAAUAAGCACCGGCUAACUCCGUGCCAGCAGCCGCGGUAAUACGGAGGGUGCGAGCGUUGUCCGGAUUUAUUGGGUUUAGAGGGUGCGUAGGCGGCUGAUUAAGUCAGCGGUGAAAGACUUCGGCUUAACCGGAGCAGUGCCGUUGAUACUGGUUGGCUUGAGUGUCGGAGGGGUACAUGGAAUUGAUGGUGUAGCGGUGAAAUGCAUAGAUACCAUCAGGAACACCGAUAGCGAAGGCAUUGUACUGGCCGACAACUGACGCUGAUGCACGAAAGUGUGGGGAUCGAACAGGAUUAGAAACCCUAGUAGUCC